This is an RNA transcript of Suricata suricatta (meerkat), 2868 nucleotides long. RefSeq lists it as uncharacterized. The record is from RefSeq and is a predicted model, not a curated record. The transcript has 4 exons. NCBI's taxonomy places the organism in Eukaryota, Metazoa, Chordata, Mammalia, Carnivora, Herpestidae.
UCCUCCAAGAGUGGAGGCUUCUCCACCACUUACCGAGGACCAGCAGAGACGCCCACAGGAGCAUGGAGGCGCGCCCCAGGAUGCUGACGAGCCGCGGCUUGCAGAUGGACAGACUGGCCGUCUGGCGCUGGGGAGUGAGUGCAGCACAGUGCCUCUGAGUGUGGCCGGCUGUGGUCGUGAGGCAAAAAGAGGAAGUACAGGAAUGUUUCUUAAAAUACCAGCAUCACGUUACUCAGGGCGAGAGAAUCCCAAUGACCAAAGUCACUAACUCGCAGAACGCCGUGGGUGCCGCUCUGACUUCGAGGUGCGAAAGGCUCCUCAAAGCUUUAACUGUCAUAUUUUCAGAAACUUCGAGCCGCCGUCCUCCAAGGAAAAUGCAACCCGUUCUCUCUCUGCUGCCAGAUGCCAGGCAAGACAGUAGACCUGUUGUGAUUCACCUCCUGCUGGGAUGUCCCUGAACUGGUCCAGAGCUGGACAAGUUCUCUUUCAACGCGGAAACACGCUCGUCCAACCUCGGAGGCCUCGGCUGGACCUCCUCUGGCUGAUCGUCCACAGAUGCUGAAGCAUCUGAAUCAUGAGACAACUUGUCCUCUGUCUGACACGUAUGAAAAUAACCUGACUUAUCUGUCUCAGAGGAAGCCACAGACUUUGACCGGAUUAGCAGGUGGACUGCGGAAUAAAUUAUGGCCUCAUUUUGCUCUUCCUGGAGAUGGGGCUGUCAAAAUUUCACCUUAGGGUUCUGGAAUCUAAAGUUUGUUACGGGAGUGUCCUGACGAAUGCAUGUUGAUUCUCCAGCUAGACGUUAUGCAGAAGGCUGGGCGCUGGGAGUGCAGUGGUAAGCAAGACUCCUCGCUUUCGUGGUCGUGGGGCAAAAAGAAGAGCCAAAUGGUUCAAUUCAGAGUGAAAAGUGCUCUGAUCAUCCAAUAGGAGGGAAAUCUAACCCAGGAUUUUCAGGGGAAGUGAUACCCAAGUUGAGGAGGUGUCUUUCCGGGACUGGGCGAUGACCACGGACGGAGGUGGGCGGCACUCACCAUCACCAUCACCUUCACCCUAAGGUAUCUGUGACCCAAUGACCCUUGAUCCCCUGUGAGUGGAAGACAUCAGACAGAGGAUGAAGCAUGACUGGCGUUUCUUGGAAGGUCUCGUUCAGUCCUCCAGCAGCCCUCCUAGAUGGGGUGGCCACUCCCGUUUGCAGGUUCUCCAGAGAAAAGAGGUUUGCUUUGAGGGAUUGCCUCAUGCAAUUAUGGAAGCAUAACCCAUACCAUGGGUUUCUCUGUGCGGACAAGUCUCACCAUCUUCCAUCUACAAGCUGGAGCUCCGAGAACCACGGGAGCCAAUGGUGUGAGUCCUGGUCCAAGUCCAAGACCCAAGAACUGGCAGUGCGACGUUCCUCCUCAAGCCCCUUCCUCACCUUGCUCCGUGGCUGAAGACUCCAGGGAGACAGUGCGUGGGCGUCCUGACUGGCACCUGGGCCACAGUCAGACAUGCCUGCAGGACACGCCUCACUUCCGUGGCUCUGCCAAGGCUGCCCUCUCGUCCCCGUGGAGCAGGCCACGGAGGGAUCCUGAGGAAGAAAGGAGUCCUGAAGACAGAGGAAAGGGAUGUGUGUUGAGGGCCCACUGUGUCAGGUGCACUGAGCCACAUACUUCACUUGGAGAUGGAGUCCCUGGGAGAGAAGAGUCUCCUUCUGAGCUGUCCCUCCCCAGGGGCUCCGCCAGGGAGGCCGAGGCUGAGAGGGAAUCCCGAGCCAUGAAAGCAAUGAGCCUCUCACAGCCCGCAUCCGCCAGGGCGUCCACCUCUUUCCCAAGACAGGAAAGAGGCCCAACAGGGAUGACUCUGGAGGAAUCUGCCAGCGGAGACCCACAGUCUCUCCCUGUGCUCUCACAGCCAAGGCUGCAGCAGCCGCCCCGGGAGGGACUCUGUGUGCCCUGCUGCUCCCUCCCCCUCAGCUCCGUGAAGACAGAGGCACCACCCCGAAGCUGACGUGCGCCCUCUGUCCCUGACGGAUACUCCAGAAAUGGGCACAAAUCAUGUCCAGACACACUGGAGCCUCUGCAAGGACAAGCCUUGACAGGGGCCUGUGGGCAAGGACAGGGCACUGCCUGCAUACCCACCUCGACACCCCGGGGAGUCCGGGCAGGACCUCGGCUGUCGAAGGCAUCCCUCAGCCUCACCUCACAGAGGUGAGCCCCUUCCUGACAGCAGCACCGCCCCGGGCUUCCCCUGGGAAGGCUCCUGAAGCCCAGAGACAUGUCCCCAGGACAGUGAAUGGGGGCAUGGAGGAAGCCUGGCAGGGGGUAAAAGGUAGGCAGUGUCUGGGAUCCAGUAGUGAGAGAGACACCUCGCCCUGCCAGGCAGGCAAGCAGCCUGCUGCCUGACACACCCGCGCCCGGGCGGGGCUGUGGGUGUGUCAGGAGGGGCCCCCACGCCUCGUGUGACCGAGACUGACCUGAGCCGGAGAGGUCUGAGUCAAGUUCAGAGAAAAAUAAUCACCCGGUUGGAAACCUUCCUCGAUAGCAUUGCUCAUGGCCAUUUCCUUCAAAGACAUAGAUCGUGUACGUAUCUUUCAAUCAUGUCGAGCUCACGUCCCAGAAAAGAUACUUGACUCUCAGGACCACAUGGUCUAACCAAGCUAAGAAGUGCAGCAUUGGCUUUAGACAAACUUGGUGUUCUCUGAUGUGCUGGAAACCAUAUCAUUACAUCUAAAAGCACCGGUGCACGCUGCUGUUGGCCAAAGUGGUUCCGAAGAAGGUUCACACUCUGCGUGAGCGGGAGUCUUGGACACAAAGGUCAAAUGUAAUAUCCAGGAAGAAAAUGCAAUUAUGUGUGUAUGUAUCGAUUAUUAUGAAUGUGGGGCUUUAGUAUACA